AGGAUACAAGGUUAAGUACGAGUUCUUAAAACUCAUACUUAUGUUACGUUCGUGACUCAUGGUUAUAUGAAAUGUUUAUGAACCCCUCAGCGAAUGGACGCCAAAAGUCUGACUAGGACAAGUUCUUAAACUCAUAUGAUUGUGGCAAUUAAUGAACUCAUAAGUGUGGUUUUAUGAACUGGGUAUAGUUUGUGUGAAUGGAGCGUUAAGGAUUAUAGGAACAGAUAGAAUGUUUAAGCAAAUGAUUGUUAGUGGAGGCAUUAGGUUUUCCUAAACUCCUAGCUAUGCAAAACUUCAAAUUUUUGACAUCAAUCUAAAUACGCACUAUGUGCCUUUUAAAAAAAAUGUAAACUCGUAACCAUUUUUGAAACG
RNAcentral lists this long non-coding RNA (372 nucleotides) under Panax ginseng (ginseng). RNAcentral describes it as "long non-coding RNA (PGIN_LNC018636)". Lineage: Eukaryota; Viridiplantae; Streptophyta; Magnoliopsida; Apiales; Araliaceae. The record is from RNAcentral.